AGGAAAAGAAACCAACAGGGAUUGCCUCAGUAACGGCGAGUGAAGCGGCAACAGCUCAAAUUUGAAAUCUGGCUCUUUUAGGGUCCGAGUUGUAACUUGUAGAGGAUGCUUCGGCGUCGGCUCCGGUCUAAGUUCCUUGGAACAGGACGUCAUAGAGGGUGAGAAUCCCGUAUGUGAUCGGUUGCCCUUGCCAUGUGAAGCUCCUUCGACGAGUCGAGUUGUUUGGGAAUGCAGCUCUAAAUGGGAGGUAAAUUUCUUCUAAAGCUAAAUACUGGCCAGAGACCGAUAGCGCACAAGUAGAGUGAUCGAAAGAUGAAAAGCACUUUGGAAAGAGAGUCAAAAAGUACGUGAAAUUGUUGAAAGGGAAGCGCUUGCAACCAGACCUGCCUGCAGUUGCUCAUCCGGGCUUUCGCCCGGUGCACUCUUCUGCUGUCAGGCCAGCAUCAGUCCGGGCGGUCGGAUAAAGGCUUCGGGAAUGUAGCUCCUCUCGAGGAGUGUUAUAGCCCGUUGCGAAAUGCGGCCAGCCUGAACUGAGGUCCGCGCUUCGGCUAGGAUGCUGGCGUAAUGGUUGUAAGCGGCCCGUUG
Molecule: ribosomal RNA, 585 nt
Filed under: uncultured Dothideomycetes
Lineage: Eukaryota; Fungi; Ascomycota; Dothideomycetes
Description: eukaryotic LSU rRNA
Rfam family: Eukaryotic large subunit ribosomal RNA
Source: RNAcentral